UAAUACGGAGGGGGCAAGCGUUAUUCGGAAUUAUUGGGCGUAAAGGGCGCGUAGGCGGCCUGACAAGUCAAAGGUGAAAUCCCUCGGCCUAACCGAGGAACUGCCUUUGAAACUGUCUGGCUUGAGGCCGGGAGAGGGUAGUGGAAUUCCCAGUGUAGCGGUGAAAUGCGUAGAUAUUGGGAGGAACACCAGUGGCGAAGGCGACUACCUGGACCGGUUCUGACGCUGAGGCGCGAAAGCGUGGGGAGCAAACAGGAUUAGAUACCCUGGUAGUCCACGCCGUAAACGAUGGGUACUCGGUGCAGCGGGUAUUGACCCCUGCUGUGCCUUAGCUAACGCGUUAAGUACCCCGCCUGGGGAGUAUGGUCGCAAGGCUG
This 377-nucleotide ribosomal RNA is filed under the name uncultured Acidobacteriota bacterium. RNAcentral's name for it is "bacterial SSU rRNA". It matches the Rfam family "Bacterial small subunit ribosomal RNA", at positions 521 to 896 of the family's 1533-position model. Lineage: Bacteria; Pseudomonadati; Acidobacteriota. The record is from RNAcentral.